This 254-nucleotide ribosomal RNA is filed under the name uncultured bacterium. RNAcentral describes it as "partial 16S ribosomal RNA". It matches the Rfam family "Bacterial small subunit ribosomal RNA", at positions 524 to 777 of the family's 1533-position model. The record is from RNAcentral.
UACGUAGGUGGCAAGCGUUGUCCGGAUUUACUGGGCGUAAAGAGCGCGCAGGCGGUCGUUCAAGUCGCGUGUGAAAGCCCCCGGCUCAACUGGGGAGGGUCACGCGAUACUGAUCGACUCGAAGGCAGGAGAGGGUAGUGGAAUUCCCGGUGUAGUGGUGAAAUGCGUAGAUAUUCGGCGGAACACCAGUGGCGAAGGCGACUCACUGGCCCGAUACUGACGCUGAGGCGCGAAAGCGUGGGGAGCAAACAGGG